Chenopodium quinoa (quinoa) is the source of this 3154-nucleotide long non-coding RNA. RefSeq lists it as uncharacterized. NCBI's taxonomy places the organism in Eukaryota, Viridiplantae, Streptophyta, Magnoliopsida, Caryophyllales, Amaranthaceae. The record is from RefSeq and is a predicted model, not a curated record. The transcript is spliced from 5 exons.
UAUUGGAACGGAAAAAGAACUCUGUACGACAAAACGAGAGUAUAAUUCAUUAUUAUUUCACUCUUUUUUUCAACACAAACCAGUAUAACAAAAAUUUCCCGCCUAAAUGUAUUGGGGUGUUUUACCAAACUAAGCCUAUUUCACAAACUAAUUUUUAAAAUAGACGCGUGGUCAAACUAUUUACCAAACUAAGCUUAUGGGAUAAAACGCUAGUUUUGGCAUUUUCCCGAUUUUUUAACUUAAAAAAAAUUAAUUAACUAUUUUUAACUUAUUUCUAAAAAAAAAAGAAAAAAAAAAACCUUCUUUCUCCCUCAUCUCCCUUCCAUGGCCUUCCUCCAACCCCUUCCACCACCUAGGCCAACACUACUACAUUUUUAAUCAAAUACAACGGCUAAAAUAAGGCUAAUGCAACGGCUACAUAAGUAACCGUGGCAAUAGCUAGAUCUAUCGCAACGGCUGCUUCAUACUUUCUCAAUAGAAGGGUCUAAUGCAACGGCUAAGAGGUAGCCGUUGCAAUAGGGAAAUCUAAUCAUGAAAUUAUAGGCACGUAAAAAUAUUCUCCUAAAUUUUCCCCAGAAUUAAAAAGCCUUCACAUUUUCUUAAACCCACCCAAUUUAAGGCCCAUCCAAUUUAUCUAUCCUUCAUAGUUCAUAUGAGUAAUAAUCAUAAUCAUCUAGCUGUUAUCUUCCUCAGAAAAAAAAAAAACAAAAAAAAGCUGUAAAAAGAAAAAGAAAUAAAAAUUGGUUCUCUUUCUCACCCAAAUUUACAAAAUCGAAAUUCGAAAAUUACGAGCAGCAUUUGAAUUAGAGGAGUGAUAAAGAAAGAGAUGUGAGAAAGUAGCUAGAAAUAGAUUCCUCAACCACCGUCAGGCGUCAGCUAGCCAGAGGAACGACAUUUUACGGUAGCAGCAAUGCCGGAGAUAAUAUACCUGCCGAGGACGGUCCAUUUCAUAUUUUCGACCAGCGAUUUGUGUAUCCUUUGAUCUGAUGGCGUCCCUCGGUCUCUACUGGUUUUCAGCUUUCCAAAAUAGCUGUAUGAGUUUCUCUCAAGCCUCAACAUAACUGACCUGAUGCAUACUAAAUUAGGUUUCCAGGCCACUAAUUGCUUGUGAAAGUUGUACAUUGAUUGAUAACUCAUGGGGUGUGUUAGCCAGCGAUAUGCUCACAUUAUAGACAGCAUCAAGGUCACCCUUACUAAUGUACAUAUUUAUCAUUUACUUGUCAUUGCUUCUCUAAGCAUUAGUUAUUUGCUUGUGAUCUCAGUAUCACCCUAAUUACCUCCCUUCGAAUCACGCCAAUGAAAUUUCGUCAUCAUUUGAUAUGUGAUUGAGAGAAUAUGCAGCAAGUCACUUGACAAAGUUUAUUCAUAUAUUUCUGUCAUCAAAAGCUUUACAAUGUUAUAUUGUAAGUAGGGCAACAAGUCUGCAGUUUCAUUAGUCUUUGAGAUAAAUCUUUAUGUAUAGAUAUCAUGGAGAACGUGGAUGUUCAAAAUGUCUGUGCAGAGCAAGAAAAGGUUGGAACAACUGAUUUUAUAAAUGAAAACCAAAGAGCUACUCCGUAAUAAGGUUAACAACCAUUUAUUUUGAUCUACUUGUCAAACUUAUCUAGUUUUUGUGACUUGUAUGUACAUUCACUAAUGCUGUAAAUAUGAGAUAUACAUGGCCACCACUCUCACUCUCACUCUCACUCAACACUCUUAAGUCUUAACUCGCAUUCUCACUCUCAACUACCACUGUAGCCCACCUCAGAAAGUCAGUUUCAAUUUUCAACUUAUUUUCAUAUUGUGCUAGCUGGUUUGAGGAGCUUGUUGAGUUGUGGUUGGAGUUUGCGUUUUAAUGUGAUUUUUGAGGUUGAGUUCGUAUUUAUUCCUCUUAUUUAGCUAAAAGCCAAAGAUUUAUUAAUAUUUUUUCUAUUCUGCUUCUGAUUAAACAUAGAGGCAAUAAAGAAGCUUCUGAAAUAUAUAUGCAGAAAGUAGCUAGGGAAUUCAUGGUGAAGGAUGAUUGUCUUGUUUUGAAUGAUAAGGUAGCCAGACACUUGUUUUUUAGGCUUAUUUUAGGCUUGUGAGGUACAAAUUCUUUUUUCAAUCUUGAGCGCUUAGUAAUUAAAAGCACGUUUAUAUCAUUACAUGUAAGGUGUGGAAUAAAUUGCUGAAAGUAGCUGACAUUCUAAAAAUUCUAUCUUAAACCAACAUCACCAACUUGUGGACCUUGUGGUUAAGGUAGGUAUUCUAUCUCUGUCAUGGAGCAAUUCUUUCCAGAGCUUUGCAGGCGCCAUUGACGAACCUCAGAACUUUCCAAGAAAUGGAAGAGUAAUUCUCCCAUUUGUGACACACAAAUAAACCUAUAUUUUGUUGAAUUGUUUUUCAUUUUUCAGUUGAGGUCUCUGUUUAAUUUGACUUAUUGCUUAAUUUUUUUAUUUUCCACCCACUCUUUUGAUUUAUUACCUGAAUUCAUAUCUAAUUAUAGUUCAUUUUAUGAGCUUUUCGGCUGAUAUAAUUUUUGCUUGAAUCCUUGAUUAUCUUCUUGUUUAUCUCUGAAUUGCUUACUUAUUUUUUUUAAAGGGCUCUAUAUCACUUACUUAAAAUUUGAUUUUGUAUUCCAAAUUUCAAGUUUUCAUGCUGAUGGACAUGUUAAAAAAUGAAAAAAAUGAUGGUUUACAAAAGUGGCCUUGUACUUGAGAUUACUUGUGGUGUAAGGUGUAUAGUGAUAUGAAUUGUCUUAAUGUACUUGUUUGGUUACUUUUUUGUUUAAAAUAGUACUAUUAUAUAUAUGGAACAUUGAGGGAAAAUAGGGUUUGGGUGUUCUCAUAUCUCUUUCUCUAUAUAUGUAUGCAGAGAAUCUGAGUGCUUAGUUUUGGCAAGUAGUCAAGCUGCUUGUGAUUUCUUUGGUUUAGAGUUCUUGAGAGUCAGGUGCUGGUUUAGUUUAUAUUCACGCAGCUCUUCUGCUUGUAUUAUUACAGCUGCUUGCUGUGUUGCUGGUCUCUACUGCUGCUGUUCACCUGCUGAUGUUGGUCGCUUGCCUCUCAAAGAUUGUAGUCGUUGUAGUUUUCUCAAUUAAUUUAAUUAGUGAAAUUUGAUUUUGUAACUUUUCCCUUUAAGGGCAAUAAUGUACGUAUUUCGCAUUAUAAUUAUUAUAUAUAAAUGAUACUUUAAUUUG